Molecule: long non-coding RNA, 2464 nt
Organism: Triticum aestivum (bread wheat)
Lineage: Eukaryota; Viridiplantae; Streptophyta; Magnoliopsida; Poales; Poaceae
Exons: 10
Source: RefSeq, a predicted model, not a curated record
CCCUCUCCCCUCGCCUCCUCCUCUCCCGAGUCCCUGCGCCGCCGGCUCCUCCCCUUCUCUUACGCCUUCUCCUCCCCAUUCCUCUCAUCUCCCUGCCUGGGUUACAGCCGCCGCCCUCGCCCCAGGUGAGUUGUUGCUGGGGGCGGGGCGGGGCGGGCUGGUGCCCUCGAGUUUGCCAUUAAGGAAGCCGUGGGUGGAGGUGAGACGCUGCUGGAGUUCAAGGUGGCUGAACGCCACGACGGGGCAACAGAUCGGCAGCCUGCGGCCCGGACCUCAGGUCCAGUUCAUGUUAAUUACCCGAAGCUUGGCGAGUUGUGGUGGUUAAUAAUUCCAUUUGCUUUGACGACACUAGAUCAUUAGUCACGGGAUGUUAAGCUCGCUCUGUAGUGUUGCUUACAAUAUUUCCUCAAUUUCCAUUGGUGGGAAUUUUGAGUGAGAAUGAUCCACAUGAUUGACAAGAACAGGGAAUGAUUAGCUUCAAGCACAUAGCAAAGAAUGUGAAAAUAAUAUAUUUAACGUUGUAUGGAGAUGCAGUACUUGAUGCGCUCCUCUGGAUCCGCUGCCCCUCUUUGUUUCUGAUUAUUGUUCUUCUCAUAUACUAUCAAAUUUCCAUGGAUGGGAUCUGAUGAAUGAGUAUCCCGUGUCUGCGGCAACUCGCAUGGCCUGAUCCGGAAGUACGGGUGUGCUGCAGGCAUUGCUUCCACAACUAUGCCAAGGACAUUGGCUUCAUCAAGGUAUGAGCCACCCCACUAUUUAUUGAUUUCCUUAAUCAUGUGCCUGAGUUUGAUGACUGCUGAGUAGUAAUAUGUUACCCCAUGCUUUCCUUUGAACAAUAUAUAUGCUUUGUCUACAAGGCCUCUUGGUAUGCUGCACCAAUUUUAAUUUGUUGGAGACUACCAUCUGGUAGUGUGAGUUAUUAAAUAAUGUAGUGUGAUGUAUGACAUGUUGGAUUCACUUAUUCAGAAUAGAUCUAUGUACUGCCCUCCUCAUUCCCGGAGUAAACCCAGUUAAGUUCUGCAAUCAUCACUUCAUGUUCUGCCUUGCAUUACUUUGUAUCUGUUUGAACAAUAUGUGUAAUUUCUACGCACCAUAAGUCAACUUGGAAUGGACCUAGUUGUGCAUGACUACAUGAUAGCUUUGUUUGUUUGUUAUUCCCACCUAUAUAAGUCUUACUCUGCUGCAUCUAUCUCCAGUCUCGGCUAUUUUACUAACUGUCAACUACCAAGUUUUUCCUGAGCAUACCAUUCCAUUUCAAAGCACAACAAAUCGAGUGUAUUGCAAUUGCUCAAAUAUUUAUUAAGUAGGUAUAUAUACAUUGUAUAUAUUUAUUUCCUGAAUAACGAUGAUUUAUUAGAAGUUAAGAUGAUUUUCCUUUUGAAGAAUUUUGUUUCCAUUUCCAUUUUAUCUCAUUAACUAUAGGUUUUAUGCUUCAGUUUUUAGGGUUGGGUAAACUAUUGUUCAGAUGCAUGUGUUAUGUUUGAAUACCUGAAUGUCCGUGUGUAACUAAUUUCUUGUAUUCCUUUUAUUUUGCAUAAUCCCAAUCUAAUUAUACUGAUAGCUGCAUUUGUGCUCUUGUUUAACGGUACCGUUAAGAAUGGAACCUCAAAGGAAGCAAGGACUAUGAAGUUAUCAUCAAACUGUGGUGUUUCAACGAGGACGAUCUUUAUCAACAAUGAGGGUUGAAUUAGAUCUUCACAGACAAAUACAUCUUUAUGUAAUAAAAAUGCUGAUAUGAUGAUCGGGAGGAGUUGCAGAAGAUAGAUUUCAAAUGGCUUGAAUAAGAAGAGAUGCAGAUCACUAUUCUAGACAGACUUUGAAGGAUGAAGAAUAAAGAACACUCUAUGAUCAGAUCAGCCAUCUAACUCCAAUACCAUGCACCAAUGCUUGGAACUCAUGCAAGUGUCAUACUCGCAUUACCAAAUCAGGCUACGAAGACAAGUCUUCGUGCGCACAUGGAUUGCAAAAGAGUGGCAUUUAAAAGGCAGCUGGCAUUUGAUGAAUUGCUGAAUGGUGGUGGUUGCACACCAUGGGGGACAGUGUUCCAAGAGAGGUCUCAAAGAUGGUUAGAGAUUAGGCAGUCCAACGUCAAACAUGAUUGUGCUGAUGUCUGGGUUUCGGCUUGGUGGUGAGGUGCUUGAGGUCACGGCUCUGCGUCAGGAACCUCCUCUUGAGCGGGCUUGUACUUCAUGGUGGUGAGGUCUAUCUUGAUGGUAGACCAGUUGGUUGAUUAAAUGCCAGUAGGAGCAGCUCAGUGAACCACUGAUGUAGUCUCACUGUGCAUCAGUAUUGUUGACCUCAACUUGUCUAUUCAUAUGAUCCAUGUAUCGUAUUUAGUUUCUCUCUAAGACUUGGUAUGCCUGUGUUCUGGUGAUCCGAGGAACUCUGCCUCUCUUUUGGAGAUCAUCCACCUUUUGGAGACUGUUAAACCUUGAUUUGAAAAUCUGGAUGUGUCUAUGACGAGUCA